UAUAUUAAAUAUUUUAAGAUAUUGAUAUAAUAUUAACAUAAUUCAUAUCAUUAUAUUUAUAAUGUAUGAAAUUUUACUUUGAGAAAAUUAGAGUGCUUAAAGCAGGUAUAUUGCCUUGAAUACUUCAGCAUGGAAUAAUAAUAAGAGAUUUUUAUCUUUCUUUUUUAUUGGUUCUAAGAUAGAAAUAAUGAUUAAUAGGGACAGUUGGGGGCAUUUGUAUUUAACAGUUAGAGGUGAAAUUCUUAGAUUUGUUAAAGACAAACUAAUGCGAAAGCAUUUGCCAAGGAUGUUUUCAUUAAUCAAGAACGAAAGUUAGGGGAUCGAAGACGAUCAGAUACCGUCGUAGUCUUAACCAUAAACUAUGCCAACUAGAGAUUGGAGGUUGUUCCUU
RNAcentral lists this ribosomal RNA (391 nucleotides) under Cryptosporidium sp. WS68. Its description in RNAcentral is "bacterial SSU rRNA". It matches the Rfam family "Eukaryotic small subunit ribosomal RNA", at positions 679 to 1068 of the family's 1831-position model. Lineage: Eukaryota; Apicomplexa; Conoidasida; Eucoccidiorida; Cryptosporidiidae. The record is from RNAcentral.